This 2760-nucleotide long non-coding RNA is filed under the name Gossypium barbadense (sea-island cotton). RNAcentral's name for it is "long non-coding RNA (GBAR_LNC009181)". Lineage: Eukaryota; Viridiplantae; Streptophyta; Magnoliopsida; Malvales; Malvaceae. The record is from RNAcentral.
CUCUCAAGCGUUCUUGCUUUUGUUCAUCUUUCAAAGAUCGUUCUUAAUUCGUUCUUCCGCUGUUCUUUGUGAAAACUUUAAGGGAAUUCUGUUGAAUCCUUUAUUGUUGCGAGUUGAGCUGACUUAGGCGUUUUUACGGUUGAAUCCAUUAUCGGUGGAAGUUAGGCUGACUUAGGCGUUUUUAAGCCAAGAAACUGCCUAAGGCCGCACGGAUGGGUGGGAAAACUCCAGGUCCGUGACAAGUGGUAUCAGAGCCAAGGUUUGAACCAAGUAAUAUUCGAGUUGUUGGUUCAAAGGCACCGUUGGGAUGUCGAGAGAAGAGUUCGAACAAAGGUGGGCGAGGAAAUCUUUGAAGGAGACAAUAUUGGCAGUAGAGGAACGUGUGAGUAAACUCGAGGGAUCCAUGGAGGAUGUAAAGGAGGCACUCGAUGGGGUCGAGGAUCACAUAGCAAACUGGAAGGAGCAGUCCAGAGACUAUGUAAAGAUGUCUCUUGGUUCCACCAUGGACAAGGUAAACGAGUUGUUUAAUUCACACAGGGAUAAGCUGUCGGAAAGGAAUGAUGCUCUCGAGGCCAUAAUGAUGGCUUUGAAGGAGGAAACAAUGGCCACGACGAGGGCUUUGAGCACAAGAAUAGAGGAGCUCGAGGGAGAGCUAGCCUUGUGCCAAGCAGCCGUGGGGAAAGGAGUGGCAAAUGCAGCACUCAGUAAUGAGGAUGUCCCAAAGCCGAAAGAGUUUGUGGGGACAAGGUCUGCAUGUGAUGUGGAUAAUUUCUUGUGGAGGAUGGAAAACUACUUCCGUGCCAAAGGCAUCAUGGAGGAUGCGGUUAAGGUGAACACUGCUUCAAUGUUUCUUACUGACAUUGCGCUUUUAUGGUGGCGAGGUAGGACCACAGAUAAAAGGCAAGGUGAGAUUGAGACGUGGCAAGAGUUCCAAUGCGAGUUGAAGGGACAGUUUUACCCAGAAUUUGCCGAGGAAGAAGCUCGGGCAAAGUUGCAAGAGAUAAUGCAACGGGGCACAGUGGGGGAGUAUGUUCGAGAGUUCAAGGAACUAAUGCUCCAAGUUUUAGAUGUGACCGAUGAAGAAGCAUUGCUUGCUUUUCAAAAGGGAUUGAAGCCGUGGGUCAGACAGGAGGUGGAACAAAGAGGUGUCCAAAAGCUGUCGAAAGCCAUUACGGUAGUUGAGUCCGUGGGCAAGCUUGGUUUAAGGAAAGACAAGCUUGGGUCUUCCAAGUCCAAGGAAAGGGGCGUAUGUGAAAUGAAUCACAAGGAAGAAAUUGUUGAUUGCAAUGGCCACGGCGACAAUAGUGGUAAGGGGAAACCACGAGUUGGGAAGAAGAAACCCAAGAGGAAAAGGGACAAGCUGAAAUGCUUUCUUUGCGAUGGUCCACACAUGUUAAAGAAAUGUCCGAAGAAAUCCGCGCUUAAGGAGAAGCCAGUGGGUAAGGCCUUGGUACUUGGUUCGAGCGCAAGGGGUGCCGAAGCCAAAGAGGCCAAAAGCGAGAAGAAGCCAGUGGAGUGCUUCUUGUGUCAUGGUCCGCAUAGGUUGCGGAAGUGUCCGAAGAAGUCUGUCAUCGAGGGGAACGAUGGAGCAGACAAUGAGCCCAAGAAGCUUGGUUCGAGCAAGGGAAAAGCCAAAGCCAAGAGGGCAAAGAGGAGCAAAAAGAAGCAAGUUAAGUGCUUCUUGUGCCGUGGUCCGCAUGAGUUGCGGAACUGUCCAAAGCAAGCCGGAGUCGAAAGAAAGGCAACGUCUGAGCUUGGUGAGUCGUCGAAGGGGCUUCCACCCAAGGAAGAGGUGAGUUUGUCAUCUAACUUAGUGGAGAAAGUUGCGAUGAAAACAGUGAAGCUGAGACCAAUGAGGCUCAAGUUGAGUGAAGCAUCGGAGUUGGCCGAGUCAUCGACAAGGCUUCCACCUAUGGGAGAGGUAGGUGGUGCAUCAGACUUCAAAGGAAAAGAAGCGAUGCAUGUGGGACAGUUGACCAGAGUAAAUGCGACGAGCAGGACGGCUCGAGUUAAGAAGCGACAGAAACCGAGGCAAAAAUCCCUAAGAAAGGGAAAGGCUAAGGCGACGAGACGAAACCGAGGCGAAUCAAGUCAGUGCCAUUCAGAAGUCGCAACGAGGGCGUUGCGAGAAUGGGUGGGGGAGAAUGUCACGGGCCGCAGUUCAAAGCCCGUGACAAGCGCACCAAAUGCAUCCAAUGGAGGUCUGUUGCUCAGAUGGGGAUCAUUUGGCCUACGAGAACUGGCCCAAUUCAAAGAGCUGUUGGACAGGCCUGUCACAUUGAAGCCUGAUAGGCCCGAUAAUGAAGAUAGGACUAAGUAGUCUUAGAAGUUCUAAUUGUACACAGCUUCUAAUUCUGUAAAGUUAGAGUCCUAAUUGAAUAUAGCUUUUAAUUGUAGCCAUCGGUUUUGGGGGAGCUCAACUAUAAAUAGAGAGCCUCCCCCUCAUUUGUACGGACUCCUGAAUUGUUUCAUUAUUCUUUGUGAAUAAGAAUUGAGAGCAUUUACUCAAACUUUUCUCUCAAGCGUUCUUGCUUUUGUUCAUCUUUCAAAGAUCGUUCUUAAUUCGUUCUUCCGCUGUUCUUUGUGAAAACUUUAAGGGAAUUCUGUUGAAUCCUUUAUUGUUGCGAGUUGAGCUGACUUAGGCGUUUUUACGGUUGAAUCCAUUAUCGGUGGAAGUUAGGCUGACUUAGGCGUUUUUAAGCCAAGAAACUGCCUAAGGCCGCACGGAUGGGUGGGAAAACUCCAGGUCCGUGACACUAG